RNAcentral lists this ribosomal RNA (416 nucleotides) under uncultured bacterium. Its description in RNAcentral is "bacterial SSU rRNA". It matches the Rfam family "Bacterial small subunit ribosomal RNA", at positions 355 to 769 of the family's 1533-position model. The record is from RNAcentral.
UAAGGAAUAUUGGUCAAUGGACGCAAGUCUGAACCAGCCAUGCCGCGUGAAGGAUGAAGGUCCUCUGGAUUGUAAACUUCUUUUAUCUGGGACGAAAACGGGAUUUUUAUCUCAAUUGACGGUACCAGAGGAAUAAGCACCGGCUAACUCCGUGCCAGCAGCCGCGGUAAUACGGAGGGUGCGAGCGUUAUCCGGAUUUACUGGGUUUAAAGGGUGCGUAGGUGGGCUUAUAAGUCAGUGGUGAAAUCUCCGAGCUUAACUUGGAAACUGCCGUUGAUACUAUAGGUCUUGAAUUAUCUGGAUGUAAGCGGAAUAUGUCAUGUAGCGGUGAAAUGCUUAGAUAUGACAUAGAACACCAAUUGCGAAGGCAGCUUACUACAUAUAAAUUGACGCUGAGGCACGAAAGCGUGGGGAUC